AAACAAAAAGUAGAAUAGAAGACAAAAUGUCAGUGAAAAAAAAAAUUGGAGUAAAGUAAAGAGAACGAUACCCUCGUUGUGUUCAUCUGUUAUGAGUUCGUGUUGUAGAGCACUUGGUUUCAGUGAGCAAUUGUGCUAGGACGACAACUUUCUUAUUUAAUUCUCUCAAAGAGCACUCCAUGUUUUAUAAGGUGUCAUCUAUCAUGUAGAUGUGUAGUAGUGUGUGGUCCAUGCAUUCUUUGAAGUUGGGUGAUGGAGGAGCCGGUGUGGCUUACACUUGACGCUCGCACUACUUGCUGUAGAUUCGUCUGUCUCAUGGCACUAGAAGCCCAGUUGGGGCAAAGCAAGGGAGGCCAUAUUUAAGUUCUAGAAGGUCCAUGUCAUCUGAAGACUGAAGAUCUAAAGAUGUCUGAGGGCAAAAAAUAUGUAGGUCCAUCUUAUCAUCGUAGAAUCG
This 454-nucleotide long non-coding RNA is filed under the name Carica papaya (papaya). Its description in RNAcentral is "long non-coding RNA (CPAP_LNC009447)". Lineage: Eukaryota; Viridiplantae; Streptophyta; Magnoliopsida; Brassicales; Caricaceae. The record is from RNAcentral.